GGUUAAUGAGGCGAACCGGGGGAACUGAAACAUCUAAGUACCCCGAGGAAAAGAAAUCAACCGAGAUUCCCCCAGUAGCGGCGAGCGAACGGGGAGGAGCCCAGAGCCUGAAUCAGUGUGUGUGUUAGUGGAAGCGUCUGGAAAGGCGCGCGAUACAGGGUGACAGCCCCGUACACAAAAAUGCACAUGCUGUGAGCUCGAUGAGUAGGGCGGGACACGUGGUAUCCUGUCUGAAUAUGGGGGGACCAUCCUCCAAGGCUAAAUACUCCUGACUGACCGAUAGUGAACCAGUACCGUGAGGGAAAGGCGAAAAGAACCCCGGCGAGGGGAGUGAAAAAGAACCUGAAACCGUGUACGUACAAGCAGUGGGAGCCUCUUUAUGGGGUGACUGCGUACCUUUUGUAUAAUGGGUCAGCGACUUAUAUUCUGUAGCAAGGUUAACCGAAUAGGGGAGCCGAAGGGAAACCGAGUCUUAACUGGGCGUUAAGUUGCAGGGUAUAGACCCGAAACCCGGUGAUCUAGCCAUGGGCAGGUUGAAGGUUGGGUAACACUAACUGGAGGACCGAACCGACUAAUGUUGAAAAAUUAGCGGAUGACUUGUGGCUGGGGGUGAAAGGCCAAUCAAACCGGGAGAUAGCUGGUUCUCCCCGAAAGCUAUUUAGGUAGCGCCUCGUGAAUUCAUCUCCGGGGGUAGAGCACUGUUUCGGCAAGGG
This 713-nucleotide ribosomal RNA is filed under the name Escherichia coli. RNAcentral's name for it is "partial 23S ribosomal RNA". It matches the Rfam family "Bacterial large subunit ribosomal RNA", at positions 169 to 924 of the family's 2925-position model. Lineage: Bacteria; Pseudomonadati; Pseudomonadota; Gammaproteobacteria; Enterobacterales; Enterobacteriaceae. The record is from RNAcentral.